GAUGAACGCUGGCGGCGUGCCUAAUACAUGCAAGUCGAGCGAACGGACGAGAAGCUUGCUUCUCUGAUGUUAGCGGCGGACGGGUGAGUAACACGUGGAUAACCUACCUAUAAGACUGGGAUAACUUCGGGAAACCGGAGCUAAUACCGGAUAAUAUUUUGAACCGCAUGGUCCAAAAGUGAAAGACGGUCUUGCUGUCACUUAUAGAUGGAUCCGCGCUGCAUUAGCUAGUUGGUAAGGUAACGGCUUACCAAGGCAACGAUGCAUAGCCGACCUGAGAGGGUGAUCGGCCACACUGGAACUGAGACACGGUCCAGACUCCUACGGGAGGCAGCAGUAGGGAAUCUUCCGCAAUGGGCGAAAGCCUGACGGAGCAACGCCGCGUGAGUGAUGAAGGGCUUCGGAUCGUAAAACUCUGUUAUUAGGGAAGAACAUAUGUGUAAGUAACUGUGCACAUCUUGACGGUACCUAAUCAGAAAGCCACGGCUAACUACGUG
Molecule: ribosomal RNA, 497 nt
Filed under: uncultured bacterium
Lineage: Bacteria
Description: partial 16S ribosomal RNA
Rfam family: Bacterial small subunit ribosomal RNA
Source: RNAcentral